Molecule: long non-coding RNA, 1007 nt
Organism: Solea senegalensis (Senegalese sole)
Lineage: Eukaryota; Metazoa; Chordata; Actinopteri; Pleuronectiformes; Soleidae
Exons: 4
Source: RefSeq, a predicted model, not a curated record
UUUGACUGGUAGUGUAUAUAUAUUCAUUGAUUGAUUUUAUAUUAUUAAUGAUUGCACACACAACCCAGAAAGACAGGUGUCUGUGAACACAGCCUAUAAAGUUUAUAGUCGUACUAUAUAAAGCUUGUAUAUAUUAUAAUGAUAGUCAAACUAUCAUUUAUGGUGCAGAAUUACAAUAAAAAAACUGCCAAACUGCAGCCUAAUAGAUUAAGAGUAAACAAAAAAAGCUAGCUGUAUUUAAUUAUGAUUUAUUAUGUCAGCAUGUAUAAACUAUCAUGUAGUGGCUCAAACAUUAUGCAACAAAAUCAUAUUUUUCAUUCAUCUCUAGGUAUUCUGGAUUGAUAGUCGGGCCGUGUGUGUGUGUGUGUGGAGGGGGCUGGGGCGGUGCCUCCGUGAGACACACAGUCUGUGGUGGUGACGGUGAUUGAACGAUAAACGCAAUGAAAGCUAUAGCGUUUUUGACUGACCUUCCCUCCUGGUGAACAUGUCGCUGCAUCUCUGACAAGGGUUUUCCGUUUUCUGUCCCUCUCUCUCUCUGCUCCACCUUUCCUUUUCUUCUGUCCCUCCAUUUCUCUCAACUACUAGAGUGAAGACAGUGGAGCUAAUUGAUUGUUGUGUGACACCACCAGGUCACCGAGCUGCGUCAUUACGUAACUAGAUGGAUUGAUUUGAUUGGCCCGGGCGUCCGGUAACUCCAGUCCAGUGACUGUUUAAGUCAGGCCAGGAUGGCCAUCGGGAGCACCGGGAAGCGUCAGUCCGCCACUGCACACAGGUCACCGAGCUGCGUCAUUACGUAACUAGAUGGAUUGAUUUGAUUGGCCCGGGCGUCCGGUAACUCCAGUCCAGUGACUGUUUAAGUCAGGCCAGGAUGGCCAUCGGGAGCACCGGGAAGCGUCAGUCCGCCACUGCACACAGACACAACAACUUGGUGUCAGAAGUGGGAUCUACGAGUGAUCUUCUGAGCACUGUCCGAGAUUGUCUGCUCCCUUUUGGUCACAACCGUGCGG